Octopus sinensis (East Asian common octopus) is the source of this 154-nucleotide long non-coding RNA. RefSeq lists it as uncharacterized. The record is from RefSeq and is a predicted model, not a curated record. NCBI's taxonomy places the organism in Eukaryota, Metazoa, Mollusca, Cephalopoda, Octopoda, Octopodidae. The transcript has 3 exons.
UGACAGAUGGCUGGAGGAGAUUGAUAUAUACAAAUGGCUGAAGGAGAUUGAAAUAGAAUGCCCUGUAGAGCUCCUACAGAAAGUUUGUCUCUUAGGGAGAGCAAGGAUCAUCAGGAAGGUUCUAAGCAUUUGGAAGACUACUGAAAACUUGUGG